RNAcentral lists this ribosomal RNA (467 nucleotides) under uncultured bacterium. Its description in RNAcentral is "partial 16S ribosomal RNA". It matches the Rfam family "Bacterial small subunit ribosomal RNA", at positions 28 to 506 of the family's 1533-position model. The record is from RNAcentral.
GACGAACGCUGGCGGCGCGCCUAACACAUGCAAGUCGAACGGAGCUGAGAGAAGCUUGCUUUUCUUAGCUUAGUGGCGAACGGGUGAGUAACGCGUGAGUAACCUGCCCUGGAGUGGGGGACAACAGUUGGAAACGACUGCUAAUACCGCAUAAGCCCACGAUCCGGCAUCGGAUUGAGGGAAAAGGAUUUAUUCGCUUCAGGAUGGACUCGCGUCCAAUUAGCUAGUUGGUGAGGUAACGGCCCACCAAGGCGACGAUUGGUAGCCGGACUGGGGGGUUGAACGGCCCAAUUGGGAAGGGACCACGGCCCAGACCCCUACGGGGGGCAGCAGGGGGGGAUAAGGCAAAAUGGGGGAAACCCUGAGGCAACGCCGCCGGGGGGAGGAAGAAGGGUUUCGGAUGGAAAACCCCUGUCCUUAGGGACGAUAAUGGCGGGCCCUAACAAAAAAGCCCCGGUUAACUCGGG